This is a non-coding RNA of Oryzias latipes (Japanese medaka), 1487 nucleotides long. Lineage: Eukaryota; Metazoa; Chordata; Actinopteri; Beloniformes; Adrianichthyidae. The record is from RefSeq and is a predicted model, not a curated record.
GGACAAGGACAGCAGUUUGUUAGAAAAAGUAGAUAACUCUUGACAAUCGUUGUGGCAUGUAGGCAUCUGUUUACACCCGUCAACUGAAACAUUUCCUUCUGCACUUGUACUGAAGCAACUUCAUCCAUUUUGUAUCUGAGGCUGACGCAAGCUGCAGCCUUGAGUCAGAAGGAGUAAAACACAAUGCGAUCUGUUCAGCCCAAUUACCGGAUUCAUUUCCAAACAGGAAACAGCUGGUAUUAGUAAAGAGCUGUUGGGAAAACCGCAUAAAGCCAUAAGCAGCCAAUUUAUCAAGGAUUUUACAGGUAUGAUAAUGUAGACAGUUACCACUUGAUUUAGUAGUCUAAAUACCUGAAUACCAUCUAAUCAUGAAAAGAAUAUGAUAUUUUGUUGAGGAGAUGUAGAUUUUUGGGCGUUAAUUGUGGAAAAUUUCCAUAAUGACAUUAUGAGAUUAACUGUCUACUAUUAAACGUAUUGUGGUAUGCUUAUAGAAACAUUAUAUGAACACUGUUGAAUGCCUUUUUUUUUCUUUCAUCGUGCUGAACUUUGACUCAACAACAAUCCUGCUGCCAGAUCUAAUGGGUUUCAAUUAAGAGAGGAAACAGACCAUCAAGAGGACCGAUCAGCCACGUCUACAAACCCAUCAAAAUGUCAAAAAGCAGUGGCAGUGAGCGAUCACUCAUGUCGUUCACGUGAUCAAAGCUAAUGUGUUAUUUUUCCCAUUCAACUCACACAAUCUGUGACGUCCAUGUCAACACUAAGGCUAUAUACUGUGCCAUUUUCUAAUGUACCAUUGAAGAUGUCAUUUGCAUGUUAUGCCUCAGUUUUCCCUUUAAAUGCAGCGAUAAUCUUUUUUUAUUGCUUCUCAUUAUUAUGUAAGAGGGCGAUGUGAGGAAUGUUGAACUCCUAUCACUUUUAAAUCACAGCACUUCUACAUAAUGUUUUCCUCCUUUCUGCUUAUAUAUAUUUCAUGCUGGUGCCCUGGGUGGAAUGGUGUUCAAGGCUGGAACGACAGAUGGCUGACGCUACGGGGGGGCUGUGAAGGAACUGCUAAAGAGUGAGGACAUGAAACGUCUCUCUCCCAUCCACCCUUCUGUCCCCUCCCCCUCCUCGAUCCCCUCCUGACAAACGCUGAGCUCAUCAGCGCUGACGCAGCGGUGACGAAGGCUGGCUGAGAAGCCCUGGUGAAGCAGCACAACAGACCUGCCAAUUUCACUGAUUGACGCUGGGCAAACAAAUGAUAGCUGGAGACCCGCCCCCACGCUCCAGGCAGCCCCCUGCCCCCAGGCCACGGUUAGUCCAGGAGAGAGCAAGGCAGAGACCCCCCCCAGGAGGAGGACGCCCAAGAGGAAGGAGGGUCCCCAAGGGCUGUUUUAAUAUGGCCUGACCAGGCUCACCAGCAGUUGGAAAAUAUGAAAAAGGCCCGCGCCCCAGGAGCCAGGACCAGAACCCACACCACAGGGACACGGACACCCACAGGCUCAGAU